This 319-nucleotide ribosomal RNA is filed under the name Naegleria sp. 4e. Its description in RNAcentral is "bacterial SSU rRNA". It matches the Rfam family "Eukaryotic small subunit ribosomal RNA", at positions 1003 to 1333 of the family's 1831-position model. Lineage: Eukaryota; Heterolobosea; Eutetramitea; Acrasida; Naegleriidae. The record is from RNAcentral.
GACGAUUAGAUACCGUCGUAGUCCCAACUAUAAACGAUACCAACCGAGUAUUUGGGAAGACACUAUCCCAGCGAUCUUCUCAGAACUCAAGGGAAACCUUAAGUCUUUGGGUUCUGGGGGGAGUAUAGUCGCAAGACCGAAACUUAAAGAAUUGAGGAAGGCACCACCAGAGUGGAGUCUGCGGCUUAAUUCGACUCAACACGGGGAAACUCACCAGUCAGACAAGUUGAUGAAGUUAAUGCCCUUUCUUGAUUGUGUGGUGGGUAGUGCAUGGCCGUUUCCGUUCCGUGUAAUCCUGGCUCCUCCUUAUUGACUCACA